ACUGGGGGAUAGCCCGGGGAAACCCGGAUUAAUACCGCAUAAUACAGGGGGCCCACAUGGGUCUAUUUGUUAAAGAUUUAUUGGUUGAAGAUGGGCAUGCGUUCGAUUAGCUAGUUGGCGGGGUAACGGCCCACCAAGGCGACGAUCGAUAGGGGAGCUGAGAGGUUGAUCCCCCACACGGGCACUGAGAUACGGGCCCGACUCCUACGGGAGGCAGCAGUAGGGAAUAUUGGGCAAUGGAUGCAAGUCUGACCCAGCCAUGCCGCGUGCCGGAUGAAGGCCCUCAGGGUUGUAAACGGCUUUUAUUCGGGAAGAAGAGCAUGGAUGCGUCUGUGUGUGACGGUACCGAAUGAAUAAGCACCGGCUAACUCCGUGCCAGCAGCCGCGGUAAUACGGAGGGUGCGAGCGUUGUCCGGAUUUAUUGGGUUUAAAGGGUGCGUAGGUGGCUUUUUAAGUCAGUGGUGAAAUACAGCCGCUCAACGGUUGAGGUGCCAUUGAUACUGAAGAGCUUGAAACAAGUGGAGGCUGCCGGAAUGGAUGGUGUAGCGGUGAAAUGCAUAGAUAUCAUCCAGAACACCGAUUGCGAAGGCAGGUGGCUACGUU
This 603-nucleotide ribosomal RNA is filed under the name Dyadobacter sp. N-YB-2168. Its description in RNAcentral is "bacterial SSU rRNA". It matches the Rfam family "Bacterial small subunit ribosomal RNA", at positions 135 to 735 of the family's 1533-position model. Lineage: Bacteria; Pseudomonadati; Bacteroidota; Cytophagia; Cytophagales; Spirosomataceae. The record is from RNAcentral.